UACAGAGGUCCCAAGCGUUGUUCGGAUUCACUGGGCGUAAAGGGUGCGUAGGUGGUUGGGUAAGUUUGGCGUGAAAUCUCCGAGCUCAACUCGGAAACUGCGCUGAAUACUAUCUAACUCGAGGAAUGGAGGGGAGACUGGAAUACUUGGUGUAGCAGUGAAAUGCGUAGAUAUCAAGUGGAACACCAGUGGCGAAGGCGAGUCUCUGGACAUUUCCUGACACUGAGGCACGAAAGCCAGGGGAGCAAACGGG
Molecule: ribosomal RNA, 253 nt
Filed under: uncultured bacterium
Lineage: Bacteria
Description: partial 16S ribosomal RNA
Rfam family: Bacterial small subunit ribosomal RNA
Source: RNAcentral